Oryza sativa Japonica Group (Japanese rice) is the source of this 206-nucleotide microRNA precursor. It matches the Rfam family "MIR812 microRNA precursor family". NCBI's taxonomy places the organism in Eukaryota, Viridiplantae, Streptophyta, Magnoliopsida, Poales, Poaceae. The record is from Rfam.
AAAGAUCGCCGUUUUAUACUGUUCAUAUCUAACAUUUGUCUAUCUGUCUUAUUUAAAAAGUUUCUAUGAUUAGUAUUUUUAUUGUUAUUAAAUGAUAAAAUAUAAGUAAUACUUUAUUUCUGACUAUCUUUUUAUUUUUUUCAUAAAGUUUUUAAAUAAGAUGGGCAGUCAAAUGUUAGACACAAAAACCUACAACUGCACUUAGA